GGGUCAGGUGAUGAUGUUUCUAUUUCACUUAAUAUACAGUGGUACCUCUACUUACGAAUUUAAUGUGUUCCGAACACACAUUCGUAAGUAGAAAAAAAUUGUAAGUCAUGUACGUGGGGUUUUUUGUCCUUCACAGAUGGCAGAGAAAACUACACUCUUUUAUCUUCUCACAUAAAAAACCAAGAAUAAGCACCUGCUUCCUUGUAUUACAGUGAGACUCAAUAAAAAUCUAGUUUUUCCUCCUAUUUCUUUUGAAGUGGGAACUUGCAAGGCACUGGGCUGCUGCCAAAUGGGGAACACGAACUGACAGAAGAACAAGCAGCUUAUGUAAGCCUUGCUAGAUAAGUUGAGAGCUACAUUUGGUGCUGUGGUUGGGCUAACAAAGGGAUUAAUCUGUUCAGCGCAGGCUGGGAAGAGAGAUGGCUGUGCUGAAUGCACGCAGAGUCCUGGUGACUGGGUCCAAUCGGGGCAUUGGCUUGGAGCUGGUUAGGCAACUGGUGCGGAAAAACAACUGUCCAGAACAUGUCUUUGCCACCUGCCGGGAUCCAGAUGGACCACUUGCCCAGGACUUGAGGAAUUUGGCUGCCAAGCACCAGGGAGUGGAAAUCAUCCCACUAGAUACUUGUGACCCAUCCAGUAUCAAGGCUGCAGCAACUAAAGUCACCAAGCGGCUGAAAGGAGCUGGGCUGAAUCUUCUUAUUAACAACGCUGGGAUUUUAAAGCCAGGCUCUCUUGAGACAGAGACACCAGAGAACAUGGCUGAGGUGUACAAAACCAAUGUGAUUGGCCCCAUGAUGCUGAGCCAGGCAUUCCUGCCCUUGCUGAGGAAGGCAUCUCGGGAAAGCCCCCAGAAUGGGAUGAGCUGCAGCAAAGCUGCCAUUGUCAACGUGUCCAGUGAAGGUGGUUCUAUCACAAAUGUCUACAUGUGGCAUUUGGCACAUGUGGUCAGUUACCGUUGCAGCAAGGCUGCUCUGAACAUGCUUACACGGUGCCAGUCCCUGGGAUUUGACAAAGAUGAAAUCUUGUGCAUUGCGUUGCAUCCUGGGUUUGUGCAGACAGAUAUGGGAAGUUCAGUGGUAAGUGAUUUGUGGAGGAAUCUGUGAACUCUAUGCAUAUUUACUGUAUUUAACUCAUUUGACCUUACAUUGAAGUAAGGAUCAAGGUGUAUAAUUAGUUUCAAAAUCAGCAAGGAAGACAUGAAUGGCAAUAACUCCCCUCUCUUUGGUGCUUCAAAAGAAUAAUUAAAAGAAAAAAACAGUUGAGGAAAGCCAUUGGACCAAUGAUCUACUCCAGGAAGGAAAUAGAGUCACACACUCUGGCUACAAUUCAAUAUGUUAUUGUUGUUGUUUAGUCGUUUAGUCCUGUCCGACUCUUCCUGACCCCAUGGACCAUAGCACGCCAGGCUCUCCUGUCUUCCACUGCCUCCCGCAGUUUGGUCAAACUCAUGUUGGUAGCUUCGAGAAUACUGUCCAACCAUCUCGUCCUCUGUCGUCCCCUUCUCCUAGUGCCCGCAAUCUUUCCCAACAUCAGGGUCUUUUCCAGGGAGUCUUCUCUUCUCAUGAGGUGGCCAAAGUUUUGGAGCCUCAGCUUCAGGAUCUGUCCUUCCAGUGAGCACUCAGGGCUGAUUUCCUUCAGAAUGGAUAGGUUUGAUCUUCUUGCAGUCCAUGGGACUCUCAAGAGUCUCCUCCAGCACCAUAAUUCAAAAGCAUCAAUUCUUCGGCGAUCAGCCUUCUUUAUGGUCCAACUCUCACUUCCAUAGAUGUCUCUGCUUUUUAAUAUGUUAUUAGGUGUGCUUAAAUUCAAACUCCAGGUCUCUGCUGAAUUCUGGCUGGACACCCAAUCGUCGUAGAAAGAUGCUCCAGGGACAAGCCCCACUGACAGUGGAUGAGAGUGUGCAAGCAAUCCUGAAGACCCUUUCCCAUCUCUCUGAGAAAGACAAUGGCGCUUUUAUGAAUUGGGAGGG
Non-coding RNA from Zootoca vivipara (common lizard), 1963 nucleotides. The record is from RefSeq and is a predicted model, not a curated record. NCBI's taxonomy places the organism in Eukaryota, Metazoa, Chordata, Lepidosauria, Squamata, Lacertidae.